UCGUAAUAUUUACAAUUAACUCGUAUAUGUGCUGGAAUGGGCCGGCAUGUCUCUACCCGAUCACCGGAAUGAUUGGACUACGGGAGGAAUAUGAAGAAUG
Molecule: non-coding RNA, 100 nt
Filed under: Paenibacillus sp.
Lineage: Bacteria; Bacillati; Bacillota; Bacilli; Caryophanales; Paenibacillaceae
Also listed under: 1 other name
Description: Guanine sequence
Rfam family: Purine riboswitch aptamer
About the family: Riboswitches are metabolite binding domains within certain messenger RNAs that serve as precision sensors for their corresponding targets.
Source: RNAcentral